AGCCAGCAGCCGCGGUAAUACGUAGGGGGCGAGCGUUGUCCGGAUUUACUGGGCGUAAAGAGCGCGUAGGCGGCCUUUUAAGUCGGCUGUGAAAUCUCCCGGCUCAACUGGGAGCAGUCGGCCGAGACUGGGGGGCUUGAGGGCGGUAGAGGAAGGUGGAAUUCCGGGUGUAGUGGUGAAAUGCGUAGAGAUCCGGAGGAACACCGGUGGCGAAGGCGGCCUUCUGGGCCGUACCUGACGCUGAGGCGCGAAAGCGUGGGGAGCGAACUGAAUUAGAUACUCAGGUAGUCCACGCCCUAAACGAUGGACGCUAGGUGUUGGGGGUAUCGACCCCCCCGGUGCCGAAGCUAACGCAUUAAGCGUCCCGCCUGGGGAGUACGGCCGCAAGGCUAAAACUCAAAGGAAUUGACGGGGGCCCGCACA
This 423-nucleotide ribosomal RNA is filed under the name uncultured bacterium. Its description in RNAcentral is "bacterial SSU rRNA". It matches the Rfam family "Bacterial small subunit ribosomal RNA", at positions 506 to 927 of the family's 1533-position model. The record is from RNAcentral.